RNAcentral lists this ribosomal RNA (496 nucleotides) under uncultured Sphingobacteriales bacterium. RNAcentral's name for it is "bacterial SSU rRNA". It matches the Rfam family "Bacterial small subunit ribosomal RNA", at positions 903 to 1382 of the family's 1533-position model. The record is from RNAcentral. Lineage: Bacteria; Pseudomonadati; Bacteroidota; Sphingobacteriia; Sphingobacteriales.
CCAGCCCGCUCAGAAACUUAAAGGACUUGACGGGGGCCCGCACAAGCGGUGGAGCAUGUGGUUUAAUUCGAUGAUACGCGAGGAACCUUACCUGGGCUCAAAUGUAUGUUGACGUAUUCUGAAAGGGAUACUUCUUCGGACAAUAUACAAGGUGCUGCAUGGUUGUCGUCAGCUCGUGCCGUGAGGUGUCGGGUUAAGUCCCAUAACGAGCGCAACCCCUAUCAUUAGUUGCCAUCAGGUCAAGCUGGGGACUCUAAUGAAACUGCCUACGCAAGUAGUGAGGAAGGUGGGGAUGACGUCAAAUCAGCACGGCCCUUACGUCCAGGGCUACACACGUGCUACAAUGGCCGGUACAAAGGGCAGCUACCUGGUGACAGGAUGCUAAUCUCAAAAGCCGGUCUCAGUUCGGAUCGGAGUCUGCAACCCGACUCCGUGAAGCUGGAAUCACUAGUAAUCGCGCAUCAGCCAUGGCGCGGUGAAUACGUUCCCGGGCCUU